ACAAACUUGGUCAUUUAGAGGAAGUAAAAGUCGUAACAAGGUCUCCGUUGGUGAACCAGCGGAGGGAUCAUUACCGAGUCUCAGAACUCCCUCACCCUUUGUGAACGAUACCGCUUCGUUGCCUCGGCGGAUGGUGCCCCGGCCUCGCGCCGGAUCCAGGCCCCCGCCGCAGGACCACCAACUCUCAGUCUUUGUGAGUCUCUGACGCGGCCUCGCGCCGACGAAAAACAUAAAUGAAUCAAAACUUUCAACAACGGAUCUCUUGGUUCUGGCAUCGAUGAAGAACGCAGC
This 291-nucleotide unclassified non-coding RNA is filed under the name uncultured fungus. Its description in RNAcentral is "partial contains small subunit ribosomal RNA, internal transcribed spacer 1, and 5.8S ribosomal RNA". The stretch from base 1 to 73 matches the Rfam family "Eukaryotic small subunit ribosomal RNA", at positions 1759 to 1831 of the family's 1831-position model. The record is from RNAcentral. Lineage: Eukaryota; Fungi.